RNAcentral lists this unclassified non-coding RNA (615 nucleotides) under Hevea brasiliensis (rubber tree). Lineage: Eukaryota; Viridiplantae; Streptophyta; Magnoliopsida; Malpighiales; Euphorbiaceae. The record is from RNAcentral.
AAGCCAUGAUAAGUGAUAAAAGAAUGGUCUUGCAACUGGGUUUGAAGAUGGUAAUGUGACACAACAGUCCUUCAAAUUUAGAACAUAUGUAACAAUUGGGUUAAGGAAAUCAUCCAAUCUGAGUUGAGUUUUGGAAUUUCCCCCUCACUUCCCUUGACUUAGAUGGGUUCCUUUUGUUGAGAAUUUAACCAAAUCUUUGGUGGAGUGUUGUUGCAGAAAUUUUCCUCUUGCCUCUCCCUGUCUUCGUACUCCUCCACUUUUCCCUUCUCUCUUCUCUUUCACUUGAACUAAUGGCUAGAGAGGUUUCAUUGGUACAUAUAGUGAUGAGAGUGGAGUGGGCUGCACUAGAAAUUGGAGGGGAAAAUAUGACAGCCACACAACUCUCUCCUUCAAUUUUAGUGUUUUCAGGUGGAGAUUGCGGUGAAUCAAUUGGUUAUGGACAAUUAAGGGUAAGGGAAUGCUAUUAGAGAUGAAAAUGGACAAUGAUAAGAGGGAAAUUCCACCGAAAAAUUUGUUGGGUGUUCAAGGUCUAGGUCAUGGCUUGGCCAAAUCUCCUCGUUUUCCGACCUUUUUCCCGAUUCUAGACUCUUCCUCUAUUCUUUUCUCAUUUUCUUU